AGAGUUUGAUCAUGGCUCAGGACGAACGCUGGCGGCGUGCCUAACACAUGCAAGUCGAACGGGGAUUAUUCGGAUGAAGUUUUCGGAUGGAUGAAGAAUGAUUCUAGUGGCGAACGGGUGAGUAACACGUGAACAACCUGCCCUGAAGUGGGGGAUAACACUUGGAAACAAGUGCUAAUACCGCAUAAGACCACGACCCGGCAUCGGGAUGAGGUCAAAGAUUUAUCGCUUUAGGAGGGGUUCGCGUCCCAUUAGGUAGAUGGCGGGGUAACGGCCCACCAUGCCAACGAUGGGUAGCCGAGCUGAGAGGCUGAUCGGCCACACUGGAACUGAGACACGGUCCAGACUCCUACGGGAGGCAGCAGUGGGGAAUAUUGGGCAAUGGGCGCAAGCCUGACCCAGCAACGCCGCGUGAGGGAAGAAGGUUUUCGGAUUGUAAACCUCUGUCGCAAGGGACGAAGAAGUGACGGUACCUUGUGAGGAAGCCCCGGCUAACUACGUGCCAGCAGCCGCGGUAAUACGUAGGGGGCGAGCGUUGUCCGGAAUUACUGGGCGUAAAGGGUGCGUAGGCGGCUAUUUAAGUUGGAUGUGAAAUACCCGGGCUUAACUUGGGGGGUGCAUUCAAAACUGGAUGGCUAGAGUUCAGGAGAGGGAAGCGGAAUUCCUAGUGUAGCGGUGAAAUGCGUAGAUAUUAGGAGGAACACCAGUGGCGAAGGCGGCUUUCUGGACUGACACUGACGCUGAUGCACGAAAGCGUGGGGAGCAAACAGGAUUAGAUACCCUGGUAGUCCACGCUGUAAACGAUGAAUACUAGGUGUAGGGGGUAUGAACUCCCCCUGUGCCGUAGCUAACGCAAUAAGUAUUCCGCCUGGGGAGUACGGCCGCAAGGUUGAAACUCAAAUGAAUUGACGG
This 912-nucleotide ribosomal RNA is filed under the name uncultured bacterium. RNAcentral describes it as "bacterial SSU rRNA". It matches the Rfam family "Bacterial small subunit ribosomal RNA", at positions 8 to 916 of the family's 1533-position model. The record is from RNAcentral.